Labrus bergylta (ballan wrasse) is the source of this 845-nucleotide non-coding RNA. Lineage: Eukaryota; Metazoa; Chordata; Actinopteri; Labriformes; Labridae. The record is from RefSeq and is a predicted model, not a curated record.
GGAGCAUGUCGUAUCUGUGGUGAAGACCAACUAUACUACUGAAUAUGUCACUGAGCUCACCAACCUCCUCUUUAAUGAGGUCAUUCGUGACCCUGAACCUUUCGUAGCUGCCCUGAAGGAAGUAGCUGUUCCAGGGUUCCUCUGCUCCCAGUAUGAGCGACCUGACAAGGCAGAUGCAGUUGCCAGCCAAAUGUCCAGGUUCAGCUGUCCAGGUAAGGGUUGGCUCCUCCAACACAUUGUGGCUAAAUGCCUGUUUAUCCACAAGUCUGCCUAAAUCAGUAUCACAACAUUUAUAAUGAAUAUAAUCAAGCACAGAUCCAGCUCCACAGCCCUGAUGACACAAACACCUGCUGAGAGUGAGAGGAGGGGAGAGGACACCAACUAAAGAACCCAGAACUAUGAGGAACGGAGGAAGUCAAGGUACUCCUGGUGGAUACGGACAACAACGCAGGAAGGUAUCACUACCCGGUUGUGCUUUCCCAGGUAUCCCCAGCACCAGGAAAUGAAGGAUGCCAGCACAUCAUGAUCCCAAGAAGAUGAAAGAUGGAUCAACCUGCAGCGUGUCUGAAAUCUAUUUGGCUGUAUGGAUUGGCCUGGACAUUUGUUUUUUUCUUUCUUUCUCUGUUUUAACUUCCAUGAAUUAUCCACAACCAUACAUUUGUAAUUUUGACUAAUCAGUUGUUGUGAAGCGUUAUCACAAAAUGUUCAAUUUGUUAGAUUUUUAUACAUGUUGUAUAUCCUAGUUCUCUAUUGUUCUCUGAGGCUGGGACUAGUUCAUGCAUUUGUUACCUCCAGGUUGGAUUAUUGUAAUUAUUGUAAUUCUCUCUCUGGAUGGAUAGGCCGGG